This 305-nucleotide ribosomal RNA is filed under the name uncultured bacterium. Its description in RNAcentral is "bacterial SSU rRNA". It matches the Rfam family "Bacterial small subunit ribosomal RNA", at positions 334 to 655 of the family's 1533-position model. The record is from RNAcentral.
UUUUCCUACGGGAGGCAGCAGUGGGGGAUAUUGCACAAUGGGGGGAACCCUGAUGCAGCGACGCCGCGUGGGUGAAGGAGCGUUUCGGCGCGUAAAGCCCUAUCGGCAGGGAAGAAGGAGGACGGUACCUGACUAAGAAGCCCCGGCUAACUACGUGCCAGCAGCCGCGGUAAUACGUAGGGGGCAAGCGUUAUCCGGAUUUACUGGGUGUAAAGGGAGCGCAGGCGGCGCGUUAAGCCUGGUGUGAAAGCCCGCGGCCCAACCGCGGGACUGCAUUGGGAACUGGCGCGCUGGAGUGCCGGAGG